Molecule: ribosomal RNA, 427 nt
Filed under: uncultured bacterium
Lineage: Bacteria
Description: bacterial SSU rRNA
Rfam family: Bacterial small subunit ribosomal RNA
Source: RNAcentral
UCGGGAAUUUUGGGCAAUGGGCGAAAGCCUGACCCAGCAACGCCGCGUGAAGGAUGAAGUAUUUCGGUAUGUAAACUUCGAAAGAAUAGGAAGAAUAAAUGACGGUACUAUUUAUAAGGUCCGGCUAACUACGUGCCAGCAGCCGCGGUAAUACGUAGGGACCAAGCGUUGUUCGGAUUUACUGGGCGUAAAGGGCGCGUAGGCGGCAAUUCAAGUCAUCUGUGAAAUCUCCGGGCUUAACUCGGAACGGUCAGAUGAUACUGCUUUGCUAGAGUGCAGAAGGGGCAAUCGGAAUUCUUGGUGUAGCGGUGAAAUGCGUAGAUAUCAAGAGGAACACCUGAGGUGAAGACGGGUUGCUGGGCUGACACUGACGCUGAGGCACGAAAGCGUGGGGAGCAAACAGGAUUAGAUACCCAUGUAGUCCCUG